This is a non-coding RNA of Anoplophora glabripennis (Asian longhorned beetle), 71 nucleotides long. Lineage: Eukaryota; Metazoa; Arthropoda; Insecta; Coleoptera; Cerambycidae. The record is from the annotation of a RefSeq genome assembly.
CAAGUUAGAGCUUGUAUAUAAAGCAUUUUAUUUACAUUAAGAAGUUAAUUGUGAAAAUCAAUUUAAUUUGA